This 71-nucleotide ribosomal RNA is filed under the name Fibrobacter sp. UWB13. RNAcentral describes it as "partial 23S rRNA. Bacterial LSU". Lineage: Bacteria; Pseudomonadati; Fibrobacterota; Fibrobacteria; Fibrobacterales; Fibrobacteraceae. The record is from RNAcentral.
UCGAUAGGCCGCAGGUGUAAGCGUGGCGACACGUUGAGCCGAGCGGUACUAAUAGCCCGUGAGACGCUUUU